AGACUAUGGUGAGGACAUUGUGUUAACAAAUCAUUGAACCUUUCCAAAUACCUAUACAAAGAUUCUCCCUCUUGCUGUGAAAAUGUACAGAUUUGCAUCCUAAU
Papaver somniferum (opium poppy) is the source of this 104-nucleotide small nucleolar RNA. The record is from RefSeq and is a predicted model, not a curated record. Lineage: Eukaryota; Viridiplantae; Streptophyta; Magnoliopsida; Ranunculales; Papaveraceae.